CACCAGAGGGUGCAAUAAGACUUGCUAACUCUUUAACCCGGAACUAACAACCGGCCCCCUCU
This 62-nucleotide transfer RNA is filed under the name Natrix natrix (European grass snake). RNAcentral describes it as "transfer RNA-Ser". Lineage: Eukaryota; Metazoa; Chordata; Lepidosauria; Squamata; Natricidae. The record is from RNAcentral.